This 72-nucleotide transfer RNA is filed under the name Felis catus (domestic cat). It matches the Rfam family "tRNA". From Rfam's summary of the family: Transfer RNA (tRNA) molecules are approximately 80 nucleotides in length. Their secondary structure includes four short double-helical elements and three loops (D, anti-codon, and T loops). Further hydrogen bonds mediate the characteristic L-shaped molecular structure. tRNAs have two regions of fundamental functional importance: the anti-codon, which is responsible for specific mRNA codon recognition, and the 3' end, to which the tRNAs corresponding amino acid is attached (by aminoacyl-tRNA synthetases). tRNAs cope with the degeneracy of the genetic code in two manners: having more than one tRNA (with a specific anti-codon) for a particular amino acid; and 'wobble' base-pairing, i.e. permitting non-standard base-pairing at the 3rd anti-codon position. Lineage: Eukaryota; Metazoa; Chordata; Mammalia; Carnivora; Felidae. The record is from Rfam by way of RNAcentral. RNAcentral also lists the same sequence under 1 other name.
GCCUGGCUGGCUCAGUGGGGAGAGCCUGUGGCUCUUGAUCUCAGUGUUGUGAGUUCGAGCCCACGUUGGGUG